This 16-nucleotide small RNA is filed under the name Arabidopsis thaliana (thale cress). RNAcentral describes it as "ATSL067710". The record is from RNAcentral. Lineage: Eukaryota; Viridiplantae; Streptophyta; Magnoliopsida; Brassicales; Brassicaceae.
AGUCACUUCCUUGCUU